AACGAACGCUGGCGGCAUGCCUAACACAUGCAAGUCGAACGAGACCUUCGGGUCUAGUGGCGCACGGGUGCGUAACGCGUGGGAACCUGCCUUUAGGUUCGGAAUAACUCAGAGAAAUUUGAGCUAAUACCGGAUGAUGUCUUCGGACCAAAGAUUUAUCGCCUUUAGAUGGGCCCGCGUUGGAUUAGCUAGUUGGUGGGGUAAAGGCCUACCAAGGCGACGAUCCAUAGCUGGUCUGAGAGGAUGAUCAGCCACACUGGGACUGAGACACGGCCCAGACUCCUACGGGAGGCAGCAGUGGGGAAUAUUGGACAAUGGGCGAAAGCCUGAUCCAGCAAUGCCGCGUGAGUGAUGAAGGCCUUAGGGUUGUAAAGCUCUUUUACCCGGGAUGAUAAUGACAGUACCGGGAGAAUAAGCUCCGGCUAACUCCGUG
This 433-nucleotide ribosomal RNA is filed under the name uncultured bacterium. Its description in RNAcentral is "partial 16S ribosomal RNA". It matches the Rfam family "Bacterial small subunit ribosomal RNA", at positions 29 to 507 of the family's 1533-position model. The record is from RNAcentral.